GAUGAACGCUGGCGGCGUGCCUAAUACAUGCAAGUCGAGCGAACAGACGAGGAGCUUGCUCCUCUGACGUUAGCGGCGGACGGGUGAGUAACACGUGGAUAACCUACCUAUAAGACGGGGAUAACUUCGGGAAACCGGAGCUAAUACCGGAUAAUAUAUUGAACCGCAUGGUUCAAUGGUGAAAUACGGUUUUGCUGUCACUUAUAGAUGGAUCCGCGCCGCAUUAGCUAGUUGGUAAGGUAACGGCUUACCAAGGCAACGAUGCGUAGCCGACCUGAGAGGGUGAUCGGCCACACUGGAACUGAGACACGGUCCAGACUACUACGGGAGGCAGCAGUAGGGAAUCUUCCGCAAUGGGCGAAAGCCUGACGGAGCAACGCCGCGUGAGUGAUGAAGGUCUUCGGAUCGUAAAACUCUGUUAUUAGGGAAGAACAAAUGUGUAAGUAACUAUGCACGUCUUGACGGUACCUAAUCAGAAAGCCACGGCUAACUACGUG
This 497-nucleotide ribosomal RNA is filed under the name uncultured bacterium. RNAcentral's name for it is "partial 16S ribosomal RNA". It matches the Rfam family "Bacterial small subunit ribosomal RNA", at positions 28 to 507 of the family's 1533-position model. The record is from RNAcentral.